AACAGGAUUAGAUACCCUGGUAGUCCACGCUGUAAACGACGUCGACUUGGAGGUUGUGCCCUUGAGGCGUGGCUUCCGGAGCUAACGCGUUAAGUCGACCGCCUGGGGAGUACGGCCGCAAGGUUAAAACUCAAAUGAAUUGACGGGGGCCCGCACAAGCGGUGGAGCAUGUGGUUUAAUUCGAUGCAACGCGAAGAACCUUACCUACUCUUGACAUCCAGAGAAUUUGCUAGAGAUAGCUUAGUGCCUUCGGGAACUCUGAGACAGGUGCUGCAUGGCUGUCGUCAGCUCGUGUUGUGAAAUGUUGGGUUAAGUCCCGCAACGAGCGCAACCCUUAUCCUUUGUUGCCAGCACGUAAUGGUGGGAACUCAAAGGAGACUGCCGGUGAUAAACCGGAGGAAGGUGGGGAUGACGUCAAGUCAUCAUGGCCCUUACGAGUAGGGCUACACACGUGCUACAAUGGCAUAUACAAAGAGAAGCGAACUCGCGAGAGCAAGCGGACCUCAUAAAGUAUGUCGUAGUCCGGAUUGGAGUCUGCAACUCGACUCCAUGAAGUCGGAAUCGCUAGUAAUCGUAGAUCAGAAUGCUACGGUGAAUACGUUCCCGGGCCUUGUACACACCGCCCGUCACACCAUGGGAGUGGGUUGCAAAAGAAGUAGGUAGCUUAACCUUCGGGAGGGCGCUUACCACUUUGUGAUUCAUGACUGGGGUGAAGUCGUAACAAGGUAACC
RNAcentral lists this ribosomal RNA (731 nucleotides) under uncultured bacterium. RNAcentral describes it as "bacterial SSU rRNA". It matches the Rfam family "Bacterial small subunit ribosomal RNA", at positions 771 to 1501 of the family's 1533-position model. The record is from RNAcentral.